AGCAGCCGCGGUAAUUCCAGCUCCAAUAGCGUAUAUUAAAGUUGUUGCAGUUAAAAAGCUCGUAGUUGAAUUUCGAGACCGGCUUACUGGUCGUGCUUUUGUGCGUACUGGUAUAAUCGGUUUCUCCUUUCUGACGACUUUAAUGCCAUUAAUUUGGUGUUUUAGGGAAUCAGGACUGUUACUUUGAAAAAUUAGAGUGUUUAAAGCAGGCUCACGCUUGAAUACAUUAGCAUGGAAUAACGGAAUAGGACGUUUGAUUCUAUUUUGUUGGUUUCUAGGAUCGACGUAAUGAUUAAUAGGGAUAGUUGGGGGCAUUAGUAUUCAAUUGUCAGAGGUGAAAUUCUUGGAUUUAUUGAAGACCAACGUACUGCGAAAGCAUUUGCCAAGGAUGUUUUCAUUAAUCAAGAACGAAAGUUAGGGAUCGAAGACGAUCAGA
This 436-nucleotide ribosomal RNA is filed under the name uncultured Glomus. Its description in RNAcentral is "SSU rRNA". It matches the Rfam family "Eukaryotic small subunit ribosomal RNA", at positions 569 to 1012 of the family's 1831-position model. Lineage: Eukaryota; Fungi; Glomeromycota; Glomeromycetes; Glomerales; Glomeraceae. The record is from RNAcentral.